Malus domestica (apple) is the source of this 1364-nucleotide non-coding RNA. NCBI's taxonomy places the organism in Eukaryota, Viridiplantae, Streptophyta, Magnoliopsida, Rosales, Rosaceae. The record is from RefSeq and is a predicted model, not a curated record.
GUCUCACUCGGUCUCUCACAUCUCGCGUAGUAGCCUGACCCCUGAGCCCUGAGCCUUGAGCCUCCUCUCUCUCGGUCUUCAAUCACUCUCUCAAACUCUCUGUCUCUCAUUCCCAACACCAUCUCUCGAUUUCUCUCUAUUUCUGCCUUCAUCCAAAAAAAUUUCACACACCUCCAUCUCGGCCAAGCUCUCGCCGCCGUCAAUUUCGAUGUCCUCUUCAGGUUCGCACAUUCAAUCUCAUUAUUUGUAUAUUUAAUUUAAUGAUUGUGUAAUUAAUUGUGCUGUAGAGGGAAGAAAUCAGAUCCAUGGUUGAAAAGGAUGGAUCUGCAAAGGGAAUUGUGUUCAGCCAGUUCACAUCGUUCUUGGAUAUUUCAAGGUCCGACCCGAACCCCAAAUUUUGUUUCUGCAUGUUUUUAGAUUUCUAGGGUUUUAUAUUUGUGUAUGCGAAAUGGGAUUUUUUUUUGCAGGCAUAUUUGCGUCGUUAGCGGCGCUGAUGUUCAAUUGCAUAAAAAAGGUGGACAAGAAUGCGAGUGGAGGUGAGCAAUUGAAUGCACAACUCAGAUAUUGAUUACUCAUAUAACUGCAUAAGAAAUUAAAAACCUACCCAGUUGAUGGGUUUCUCGAUUUAAUUCUCCACCCAAGACAGAGAGUUCGUGUGUAAAGAGAGAAGGCAAAGAGGGUCUGGCAUUUGGGCGGCGACGAUUGAGUUGCUGCUGCUACUGCUACCCUUCUCCUUCUUUCUAUCAUUUUAGCUUCUGGGUACUUUCGGAUUUGAGUUGCUGCUUGAGUAUCAUUAAAGUAAGAAAAUAGCGGUGCUAUAGCGGAAGAAGAGGGAAGAGAAACAGUUGAGUCAUCCUCUUUCUGUUUGAGUUUGUCAAAUGGUGCACAAGGACUGGGAGAAACUUUUGGGAGAGUGACAAUUGAAGCCAUGGCAUUCGGUCUUCCGGUGCUUGGAACCGAAGCCGGAGGCACAAAAGAGAUUGUUGAACACAAUGUAACAGGUCUGCUUCAUCCUGUGGGGCAUGACGGAACUCGUGGCCUCGCCGAGAAUCACCGAUUUUUGCUUAAAAUAGGUCGAUGCAUUGAAGAACCAUAGAUGUCGAACACAGCAGAGGUCGAUGCAUUGAAGGCGGAAGUGACGCACCUGAGGGUCGAGGGCGAGCAGAUGAAGGCGCAGCUGAGGGCCCAGGGCGAGGAGAUGAAGACAUGUGUCGGGAGGGUGCAAGAACUUGUACAAGCCAUACAGAUGUCCGGCCUCCAAAUUGAAGGGAAAUCUAUGAGAUUCUAGCAUGAGAUUUCAAAAUGACUAUCAUGCAUAUUCAAAUCAAAUUUAAUACGAAAGCAGCGGAAGCAUUUAUAACAUA